This 249-nucleotide ribosomal RNA is filed under the name uncultured bacterium. Its description in RNAcentral is "partial 16S ribosomal RNA". It matches the Rfam family "Bacterial small subunit ribosomal RNA", at positions 1253 to 1500 of the family's 1533-position model. The record is from RNAcentral.
AACUGCGAAGUGGAGCAAAUCCCUAAAAGACCAUCUCAGUUCGGAUUGCAGGCUGNAACCCGACUACAUGAAGCUGGAAUCGCUAGUAAUCGCGGAUCAGAAUGCCGCGGUGAAUACGUUCCCGGGUCUUGUACACACCGCCCGUCACACCAUGGGAGUCGGAAAUGCCCGAAGCCUGUGAGCUAACUUUAUAAGGAGCAGCAGUCGAAGGUAGAAUCAAUGAUUGGGGUGAAGUCGUAACAAGGUAUC